GCCUUCGUGGUGUAGUGGUCAGCACACAUGACGCGUAACCGAGAGGUCCGUGGUUCGAUUCCCGGCGAAGGCG
This 73-nucleotide transfer RNA is filed under the name Stegodyphus mimosarum. It matches the Rfam family "tRNA". From Rfam's summary of the family: Transfer RNA (tRNA) molecules are approximately 80 nucleotides in length. Their secondary structure includes four short double-helical elements and three loops (D, anti-codon, and T loops). Further hydrogen bonds mediate the characteristic L-shaped molecular structure. tRNAs have two regions of fundamental functional importance: the anti-codon, which is responsible for specific mRNA codon recognition, and the 3' end, to which the tRNAs corresponding amino acid is attached (by aminoacyl-tRNA synthetases). tRNAs cope with the degeneracy of the genetic code in two manners: having more than one tRNA (with a specific anti-codon) for a particular amino acid; and 'wobble' base-pairing, i.e. permitting non-standard base-pairing at the 3rd anti-codon position. The record is from Rfam by way of RNAcentral. Lineage: Eukaryota; Metazoa; Arthropoda; Arachnida; Araneae; Eresidae.